AAAUUGGCUCAUGUAACUAUAGAGGCUGAGAAUUCCCAUUAUCUGCUGCCUUCAAGUCAGAAAUGCGGGACACCCAGCGGUGUUGCUUGAAGGUUUGAGAACCAGGAGUGCUGAGGGCAAUAGAAGAUCCCUUCAGGAGUAGCCCCAGGUAAGGGACCCCAAAGAGUGACCUCACUUCCUUGACAAUAGACCCCAACAGAACUUGGAACACUGGAAACCAAGCACCCACAUUCUAGAAACAGUCUCUCCCCAGCUCACUUGGCUGAAGAUACUAAAGAGAACUAGAUGUUAUCUAGUGUUAUCCUGCUGAUCCCAAUUUCCUAUAGUUCUGGCACCAGAAAAUCCUGAAUGAUAGGUUUUUCUGAAGCUGCUGACAUCGGGUCAGCCCUCAACACCAUCACCUUUGGCCAUGUUCAGGAAGUACUCAAAGAUCAUGGCUCAAAAGUCUGCAGAGCAGAGACAAGAGAUUGACAAAGAGGUGUUGAUGAGGGCAAUAAAAGCAAAGGUGGCUUUAUCACGGUGAGCUACUUCUCACAGGAGUCGGGAUCCACAUCUGCAGACUACACAAAAACAAACAACACAGAUUAAAAGCACAAUCACCA
This 602-nucleotide long non-coding RNA is filed under the name Homo sapiens (human). RNAcentral's name for it is "HSALNT0385393". Lineage: Eukaryota; Metazoa; Chordata; Mammalia; Primates; Hominidae. The record is from RNAcentral.